Pieris brassicae (large cabbage white) is the source of this 460-nucleotide long non-coding RNA. RefSeq lists it as uncharacterized. The record is from RefSeq and is a predicted model, not a curated record. The transcript has 3 exons. NCBI's taxonomy places the organism in Eukaryota, Metazoa, Arthropoda, Insecta, Lepidoptera, Pieridae.
CAAAAACACACGCGAUUUUUAAACACGAAACGCGGUGCGCGGGCAACGCGCAGAUCGGCAAAUGAUGCCGCGCGAGAGAUUGCGCAGUUUUAAUAAAGCUGUUUGUGACGUCACCCCAGCGCCUUCGGACCAUUCAGCAGGUGCUUCAUUGGACCCGGCAAGGAAAGCGGAAGCAUGGCCGUCCCAAGAAAACCUAGCGUCGUACAGUUGCAGGUGUGACAAAGAGAGCCGGAAUGACUUGGAGCGAGGGGACAUAGGCUCAAGACCAAACGUGAUGGAGAUUCAUUGUGGACGCCCUCUGCCCCAAGUCUAGAUAGAAUAUUUUACCGCAAUGCCCGUAGGGCUGGUGGGAUUGAACAUCAUCUUUUCUUCGCCUGCUCCCGUUAUCAUGGCGGUCAUGUCGGAGAUCCAUCUCGACGAACUAUCAGAGAUAUUCAAUAGAACACUUAUGUCAGGGCAC